CCCAUAACGCCCCAUGAUAUCCCAUAAUGCCCCAUAACCCCAUAACGCCCCAUGACAUCCCAUAAUGCCCCAUAACCCCAUAACGCCCCAUGAUAUCCCAUAACCCCCCAUAACCCCAUAACCCCAUAACGCCCCAUGAUAUCCCAUAAUACCCCAUAACCCCAUAAUAUCCCAUAACCCCCAUAACCCCAUUACCCCCCAUAGCCCCAUAAUACCCCGUAACCCCAUAACCCCCCAAUAACCCCAUAACCCCCCCAUAAUACCCCAUAACCCCCCCAUAAUACCCCCAUAACCCCCCCAUAACCCCAUUACCCCCCAUAGCCCCAUAAUACCCCAUAACCCCAUAACCCCCCAUAACCCCAUAACCCCCCAAUAACCCCAUAACCCCUCCCAUAACCCCAUAACACCCCAUAACCCCCCAUAACCCCCUCAUAACCCCCUCAUAACCCCCCCAUAACCCCAUAAUGUCCCAUAACCCCAUAAUACCUCAUAACCCCAUAACCCCCCAUAAUACCCCAUAACGCCCCAUAACCCCACAGCGCCCCACAGCGCCCCGCAGCGCCCCGGCUGACCUUCGAGGUGCCGCAGAACGGCGCUCAGCCGAUGGGCGCACGGAGCGAAAAUCCCCACCGUGAGCGGAGCGGCGGCCGCGCAAACGGUGCGCGCCAAACAGUGCGCGUACAGCCGGUCCGGGGCUGCAAUUAACGGCAAUUAACAGUAAUUAACGGUAAUUAACGGCAUGUGAGCCAAACAGUGCGCGUACAGACGGUCCGGGGCUGCAAUUAACGGUAAUUAACAGUAAUUAAUUAACGGAUUAACGGCGUGUGAGCCAAACAGUGCGCGUAGAGACGGUCCGGGGCUGCAAUUAAUUAACGGUAAUUAAUUAACAGUAAUUAAUGGGGUAUUGGGCUGUGAGCCAAACAGUGCGCGUAGAGACGGUCCGGGGCUGCAAUUAACGGUAAUUAACGGUAAUUAACGGUAAUUAAUGGGGUAUUGGGCUGUGAGCCAAACAGUGCGCGUAGAGACGGUCCGGGGCUGCAAUUAAUUAACGGUAAUUAGCGGUAAUUAGCGGUAAUUAAUGGGGUGUGAGCCAAACAGUGCGCGUACAGACGGUCCGGGGCUGCAAUUAACGGUAAUUAACGGUAAUUAAUUAAUGGGGUAUUGGGCUGUGAGCCAAACAGUGCGCGUAGAGACGGUCCGGGGCUGCAAUUAGCGGUAAUUAACGGUAAUUAAUUAAUGGGGUAUUGGGCUGUGAGCCAAACAGUGCGCGUACAGCCGGACCGGGGCUGCAAUUAACGGUAAUUAACGGUAAUUAACAGUAAUUAACGGCAUGUGAGCCAAACAGUGCGCGUACAGCCGGUCCGGGGCUGCAAUUAACGGCAAUUAACGGUAAUUAGCGGUAAUUAAUGGGGUGUGAUCCAAACAGUGCGCGUACAGCCGGUCCGGGGCUGCAAUUAACGGCAAUUAACAGUAAUUAAUUAAUGGGGUAUUGGGCUGUGAGCCAAACAGUGCGCGUACAGCCGGUCCGGGGCUGCAAUUAACGGCAAUUAACGGUAAUUAAUUAACAGUAAUUAAUGGGGUGUGAGCCAAACAGUGCGCGUACAGACGGUCCGGGGCUGCAAUUAACGGCAAUUAACGGUAAUUAAUUAACAGUAAUUAACGGCAUCUGAGCCAAACAGUGCGCGUAGAGACGGUACGGGGCUGCAGUUAACGGCAAUUAACAGUAAUUAAUUAAUGGGGUAUUGGGCUGUGAACCAAACAGUGCGCGUAGAGACGGUCCCGGGCUGUUAAUUAACAGUAAUUAGCAGUAAUUAGCGGUAAUUAACGGCAUGUGAGCCAAACAGUGCGCGUAGAGACGGUCCGGGGCUGCAAUUAGCGGUAAUUAACAAUAAUGAAUGGGGUGUGAGCCAAACAGCGCGCGUACAGCUGGUCCGGGGCUGCCAAUUAAUGGGUAUUAAUGAGUUAUUAAUGGGUUAUUAAUGCGAUAUUAAUGGGGCUAUGGGAUUAUUGGGGCCAUCGAUGGGGUUACGGGGUCAUUAUGGGGUCAUUGUGGGGUCAUUGUGGGGUCAUUGGGAUUUGGGUUCGGGUUGGGGUCAGGUUGAGGUUUAGGGCCACGAUUAGGAUCACUUUUAGGGUCGGGUUUAGGAUUAGGAUCAGGUUUAGGGUCGGGUUGAAGAUUAGGAUCAGGUUUAGGGUCGGGUUGAAGAUUAGGGUCGGGUUUAGGGUCAGGUUUAGGAUUAGGGUUGGGUUGGGGUUGGGAUUAGGAUCAGGAACAGGUUUAGGAUUAGGAUCAGGUUUAGGGUCGGGUUUAGGAUUAGGGUCGGGUUUAGGAUCGGGUUUAGGAUCAGGUUUAGGGUCGGGUUUAAGAUCAGGUUUAGGGUCAGGUUUAGGAUCACGUUUAGGGUUGGGUUUGGGGUCGGGUUUAAGGUCACAUUUAGGGUCACAUUUAGGGUCGGCUUUGGGGUUGGGUUUAGGAUCACAUUUAGGGUCGGGUUUAGGGUCACAUCUAGGGUCACAUUUAGGGUCGGGUUUGGGGUCGGGUUUAGGAUCACAUUUAGGAUCACAUUUAGGGUCGGGUUUGGGGUCGGGUUUGGGGUCGGGGGGGGCCGUACCUUCGUGCUCCUCCCACUCCCACUCCCACUCGGAGCCGUCGCUGUCCCCAUCGCUGUGGGGCGGCCCCACAUCCAGCAGUGCUCCGCGCUCCUCCACGGAGCCCGAAGGGCGGCGCUGUGGGGCGGAAUGGGGGAUGCGGGUUAUGGGGUGGGCUAUGGGGUACGGGG
Molecule: long non-coding RNA, 2780 nt
Filed under: Gallus gallus (chicken)
Lineage: Eukaryota; Metazoa; Chordata; Aves; Galliformes; Phasianidae
Description: lncRNA (ENSGALG00010010907.1)
Source: RNAcentral